UUGCCCUUGUGCCUAGUUAAGAGAUUUCAAA
RNAcentral lists this non-coding RNA (31 nucleotides) under Rattus norvegicus (Norway rat). The record is from RNAcentral. Lineage: Eukaryota; Metazoa; Chordata; Mammalia; Rodentia; Muridae.